Non-coding RNA from Danio rerio (zebrafish), 544 nucleotides. NCBI's taxonomy places the organism in Eukaryota, Metazoa, Chordata, Actinopteri, Cypriniformes, Danionidae. The record is from RefSeq and is a predicted model, not a curated record.
AGAGUUGUGCUCACUAAAGUCAUAACCAUUUCCUGAGUCUGUUUUUUUUUUUUUUUUUCAGUGAAAAGCAAAUUUGGAUUAUCAACAACUGCAGAUCCUCAAGUUUUCGAUGACAUGGACACUAAUGUAGAAGAGGACAUCUUCCACGAGUUAAUGGACAGCAGUCCACAUUUAUGCUUGACUGUUAGAUGUUUGGAAAAAAAUAUUUCUGCUGGCCUGCCUGAGGUGAUUUCACCCACAAGAUCAUCAACAGCCAGCACAUGUACUGAUACAGUUUCACUCUCUUCAACGGAUCAUGAAGACCCAGAGCGAACAAUGCAGAAUCAAUUGACAAGGACUAACAGCUGCUUGAUAGUAGAUGGUAAAGGGCAAAACAGAUUGUUCAAGAUGCAUUGGGAAAGCAAUCUGGUGGUGAUGAAGUACUUGACGAAUACAAGGUCACAAAAACUUUAGGGCCACAGCACUAGACGGCAGCUGGUUAAUAUUGUCGUCAGUCACAUGAAAGAGAUUCAUGGGAGAAUCCCCACGUGCAAGCAACGGGAGU